UACGGGGGGGGCAAGCGUUGUUCGGAAUUACUGGGCGUAAAGGGCUCGUAGGCGGCCUUCUAAGUCGAACGUGAAAUCCCCGGGCUCAACCCGGGAACUGCGUCCGAUACUGGAAGGCUUGAAUCCGGGAGAGGGAUGCGGAAUUCCAGGUGUAGCGGUGAAAUGCGUAGAUAUCUGGAGGAACACCGGUGGCGAAGGCGGCAUCCUGGACCGGCAUUGACGCUGAGGCGCGAAAGCGUGGGGAGCGAACAGG
This 253-nucleotide ribosomal RNA is filed under the name uncultured bacterium. Its description in RNAcentral is "partial 16S ribosomal RNA". It matches the Rfam family "Bacterial small subunit ribosomal RNA", at positions 524 to 776 of the family's 1533-position model. The record is from RNAcentral.